This 484-nucleotide ribosomal RNA is filed under the name uncultured bacterium. Its description in RNAcentral is "partial 16S ribosomal RNA". It matches the Rfam family "Bacterial small subunit ribosomal RNA", at positions 30 to 507 of the family's 1533-position model. The record is from RNAcentral.
AUUGAACGCUGGCGGCAGGCCUAACACAUGCAAGUCGAGCGGAUGAAGGGAGCUUGCUCCUGGAUUCAGCGGCGGACGGGUGAGUAAUGCCUAGGAAUCUGCCUGGUAGUGGGGGAUAACGUCCGGAAACGGGCGCUAAUACCGCAUACGUCCUGAGGGAGAAAGUGGGGGAUCUUCAGACCUCACGCUAUCAGAUGAGCCUAGGUCGGAUUAGCUAGUUGGUGGGGUAAAGGCCUACCAAGGCGACGAUCCGUAACUGGUCUGAGAGGAUGACCAGUCACACUGGAACUGAGACACGGUCCAGACUCCUACGGGAGGCAGCAGUGGGGAAUAUUGGACAAUGGGCGAAAGCCUGAUCCAGCCAUGCCGCGUGUGUGAAGAAGGUCUUCGGAUUGUAAAGCACUUUAAGUUGGGAGGAAGGGCAGUAAGUUAAUACCUUGCUGUUUUGACGUUACCAACAGAAUAAGCACCGGCUAACUUCGUG